Molecule: long non-coding RNA, 6759 nt
Organism: Homo sapiens (human)
Lineage: Eukaryota; Metazoa; Chordata; Mammalia; Primates; Hominidae
Exons: 2
Source: RefSeq, a predicted model, not a curated record
UGUAUUUUUAGUAGAGACGGGGUUUCACCGUGUUAGCCAGGAUGGUGAAAAUAUUUUUAUUCCAUCCUCACACUUGGCUAUAAAGUUUGAAGAGCAAUGUCAUUUUCCCACAGAACUUUGAAGGCAUUGUUUCACUUUCUUCUAGCAUUCAGUUUUGAUGAUAAGAUGCAUGAUAGCAGUCUGAGUCUCAUUGUUUUAUAAUUGACUUUCCCCAUCACUUUUUCUCUUCUUUUUGGGACCUCAGUGACACAAAUGUUAGAUCUUUUAUAAUAGCCUCACAGGUCCUUGAGGCUCUGUUCAUUCCUGCCCCCCAACCCCCCGUUUGUUUUCUAGAUUGAGUAAUUCCUAUUGUUCUAUCUUCAAGAUUGUUGAUUUUUUUCCUCUGCCCUCUCCAUUUUGCUGUUAGCCUAUCUGUUGAGGUUUUUAUUUUUUUGUAUUUUUCAGUUCUAAAAUUCUGAUUUGGUUCUUUAUAUCGUCUAUUUUUUUGCUGACAGUUUCUACUUGUUUUAAGCAUGUUUAAGCAAAUUGUUGAGGCAUUUUUAUGAUAGUUCCUUAAAAGCUCUUGUCAGAUAAUUUUAACAUUUCUGUCAUCUCAAUGUUGGUGUUUAUUGAGCAUCUUUUCUCAUUCAAGUUGAGAUUUUCCUAGUUCUUGGUUUGAUGAGUGAUUUUUGAUUGAAACUGGGCAUUUUUGGUAUUGUGUUGUGAGACGUUGGAUCUUAUUUAAAUACUCAGUUUUAGCUUGCGUCCUCAGACACCACUCUGGCAAGGGAGAGGGCACAUUGCCUCAUUACUGCCAGGUGGGAGUAGAAGUCCAGAUUCCCCACUCACUCUCUAUUGAUACCUCACCAGGAGGGUUUCCUAGUUACUGCUAGGUGGGAGUGGGAGUUCCAGCUGCCCGUGCAACCUUCUCUGACACCACCCCAGCAGAAAGGGAGAGGGGCAACCACUUACAGCUAGCAAGUGUGGAAGUCUAAGCUUCCCUCUUGGCCUUUGCUGGUGGAUGGGAGUGGGACUACAGCUUUCUUCUGUGGUGUUAGAGCAGUUAUUAUCUAAUUGUUGGCUUCUCCAGCCCUAAGUCUGGGAUAUAUGAGACAAAAAACAAACUCAGGGAACUCACCAGUAUGUCACUUCUCUGCUACCAAGUUCCCUACCCAGUUUGUCGCCUUCUAUCCACCUUUCAGAAUUUUAUGUUUAUACAUAAUGUCCAAGUUCAAUUUUAGCUGUAUUUGGUGGGAAGCAUAGGGAAAAGUACUUCUACUCCAUCCAUCCCUCCUCCUGAUUUUUGUUUUUGUUUUUUUUGUUUGUUUGUUUGUUUGUUUGUUUUUUUGAGACGAAGUCUCGCUCUUGUUCCCCAGGCUGGAGUGCAAUGGCGCGAUCUCGGCUCACUGCAACCUCCACCUCCCGGGUUCAAGCGAUUCUCCUGCCUCAGCCUCCCAAGUAGCUGGGAUUACAGGCGCCUGCCACCACACCCAGCUAAUUUUUGUAUUUUUAGUAGAGACGGGGUUUCACCAUGCUGGCCAGGCUGGUCUCGAACUCCUGAACUGAGGUGAUCUGCCCGCCUCAGCCCCCCAAAGUGCUGGGAUUACAGGCUUGAGCCACUGUGCCUGGCCUCCUGUUAUUUUUUAAGAAUUGUAUUCUUGGUAUUCUGAAACUUAAAAAUUAUGUGUUUAGGUUUCAGAUCUUUUGUCAUUCAUUGUGCUGGUCAUUUGUUACAUCCCUUCAUUUUGAAGUCUUUUAACUCUGGGAAAUUCUCACAUAUUAUGUCUUUGAUCUAUUCCUUUAUUCCAUUUCCUUUAUUCUCUCUUUCUGGAAAUCCUUAAUGUUAGAUGUUAGAUCUCCUGAAUUUAUCUUUUGUAAUUUUUUAUCCACUCUCCUAUUUUCCAUCUCUCGCUCCCUUCCUCUUUCCCUCCCUCCCUCCCUAGCUUUGUCCCUCUCUUCCUUUUGUUUUUGUUUACUUUCUGAGAGAAGACUUAACUUUAUCUUUCAACCCUUCUAUUGCAUGUCUUUUCAUGUGGCAAUCAGAUUUUAAAUUUCUUAGUAUUCACUCUUGUUCUCUUUUCCUUUCUUAUUGCAUUCUGUUCUUGUUUUAUGGAUGUACUAUCACCUUGAAUCUGAAAAUAAUAGAGAUAUUUUUAUAUUUCUUUCUGUUCUUUGAAAUAUCUAUUUCAUUUGGAUUAUUUUUUCCCUUGUUUACUUAUUUUGGUCUCUUUCAAGUUGCAGUCUUUUCUCAAAUGCUUAGUGAUCCAUAGUUGUUUGCUGAUAUUUAAGAAUGUAGCAAUAAAAAUCUGAUCAGAAGCUCUGUAUAUGGGGGCAGGGCUAGGCAACUGGUGGCCUUCCUUUAGGAUGACUAGAGAGCUAACUUGCUAUGCUGCAGAGUCCCUGAAUGCCAGAAUGCUAACGUCUUUUCUUUGAGGUUGUUCAAUAGCCUUAGCGAAGAACCCUCUGGUUUUUGCCUAAUGGGUAGACACCUGGCUGCUGUGAAUUGUGCACAAGGGAGGGGGAGGGGGAUUCAUGGUUUGAUAUGCAGCCUUCCCAUUAAACUCCCAAUUUUCAGCCCCACAUUUGACUCCCAUCCUUUAUCAUACCUGGCAUUGUCAAGACCAAGACACUCCAGGCUUCUGCAGAGAAAGAGCAACUUCUUCCUCUGAAGCAUCACCUCCAUGCAUACUCCAGGCUGUGGCUUCCUCCACCAUGCUCCAUCAGUCACCAUUCCUCCAUUGACUUCUAUCUUCCAGAAAUUUGUUGAAAUCUCUCUUUUGCUGAUGGACCUGUUCCCACUCUCUUCAUCAUUGUGGAUUUAUACCCUUUUUAAUCCCUUUACAAUGAUUUUAGCAGGGUCUCAGGAGGAAGUGGAGAAAAACACAUGGUAAGUUUAUCAUCUUGACCUGGAAAUCUACUAGUCUACUUUUAACUGUUUGGGUUUUUUUUUUUCCAGUAAUUAUCUUCAUAUCUCUAAAUAAUAUACAGAUUUUUCUUUUUCUUUCUUUUUUUUUUUUUUUGAAACGGAGUCUUGCUCUGUCGCCCAGGCUGGAGUGCAGUGGUGCGAUCUUGGCUCACUACAACUUCUGCCUCCUGGGUUCAAGCGAUUCUCCUGCCUCAGCCUCCCGAGUAGCUGGGAUUACAGGCAUGCGCCACCACGCCCAGCUAAUUUUUGUAUUUUUAGUAGAGGUGGGGUUUUGCCAUGUUGGCCAGGCUGGUCUUGAACUCCUGACCUCUGGUGAUCUGCCCGCCUUGCCCUCCCAAAGUGCUGGGAUUACAGGCGUGAGCUACCACGCUCAGCCAAUAUACAGAUUUUUCUAUUUAUCAACUUUUAUUGAUCAAUUUUAGUCAUUCUCUAUUAACUUCCUGCUAUUUAUACCACCCGAAUGCCUUUCCCAUGCCUCCAAUAUAGCCAUGUCACUAAUUAUAUAUCCUCUAUUCCUUAUCUUUCUACCUUUAACUAAUAGACUUACUCUCCCUUUUCUCUCUUUUAACUUGUCAACUGCACUUUUAUAUUAACAAGGUUAAUAUUUACACUUUGUUCUAUAACCAUAAUUAAGUCAUCCAUACUUUGCCAGUAGGUCAUUCUAAAAGUUUAAGGGCAAUAAAGUGUUUACAUUAUUAUGAUUAUGUAAAUAUUGUUCCAGAAAGAUCCAAUUAGUAUAUUAGGAUUACAUUGCUUUUCUUAUACACCUUUUUUUCCUUAGAGUUUCUAAUUGUCUUUCUUUUUUUCCUUGCAUUGUCUGACUUUAUCACCUUCUUAAGUUAUUCCAAAGUCUCAAGGAAAGUAUAAAAUCAUUUGAAUCCCCUUUUUCCCCAGAUACCUUCUUCCUGGAGUCCUCCGUCUUCCUGUUCCAAUUUGGACGGAUUGCUCUGUAGGCCUGCGGUGCAGCUGUCAUCCUGGGACGUCCCUUCAUUAUUCUGGGUUGGACCCAAUCUUUCUUGGACCCCAUAUCUUCCUCUUUCUUAGUUUACUCCCUUGUAGUGGACAUUGUAGUUGUUCUGCAGCAUCCAUUCCACUCCUCUCCCGCUGUAUAACAACUAUGCAAUGUGAGUGGGAUUGACCCCACCACCAGCUCUAGGUGUAGGCCUUUAUUGGUAUAAACUGAUCUGAGUAAUUUCACCCUCCUAGCCACAGUGAUGACUGGUUCAGGGAUGACCCAAUCACAAUGAGGCUUAGGACUUUUAUUCAGCUUUUGAGGGAGGAGAUGACCUAUCUUCCCUUGGAUAAGAACAAAGAAGCAUGUAGCCUGGUUGCUGCUGUUAGCCAUCUUGUGAACAUGUGGAAGGCCUACCUGAGGAUGGAGCUGAAAAAUGGAGGAGGCAGAGCCAAGAGAAUCACAGAAAUGGAACCAUAUUCCGGAUCAUGCCAUGCCUGAAAUCUCCCUGCCUGUGGACUCUUCAGUUAAGUGAGCCAAUGAAUUGCAUUUACUAUUCAAGACAGUUUGAGUUGGAUUUUGUAUUGCUUGUCCCUGAAAGCAUUCUAAUUUAUGUUUUUGGUUUUCUCACUCUGGAAAGGGGAUGGGUGCAUGUUUGGUUAUAUGAGGUAUAUUUGCACCGUAUUAGGUGGAAGCUUUUUUUAAAAGCAUAAAUACGGGAGGAAGGCUAUAUGUGGAUGUUGGAUGACCAAAGGAGCGAACUCUACUGUUCUCUAGCAUCUAAUUUCCCAUGCUGUUUUUUGGGGGAAUCCCUGCCAAAUUGGGAGGCAUGGCCCUAUUUCCCACUAUGGAAACUGAUGGUGGUCAGAUAUUUUCUUUCCCAGCCCGCCAGGCAACAAGGGCUGAAUACUCUGUUCAUGGCCUUGAAUCUGGAACCAGCAACAAAAAGAAGGCAGGAAUAUACAAAAUUAACAAAAGGAUGAUAGAUUAGGAGAAUAUAUAAGGAAGAUAGUAAACCCAAUAGGAAAAUGGGCAUAGGAUAUGAAGAGUAAUUUAUAGAAGGGGAAACUUGAGUUUACACAAGGGGAAACUUGAAUAUAUUAAGAGCUUUUUCAACUCUGCCAAUAAUUAGAGAAAUGAAAUUAAAAUAAUAAUGAGAAGUCACUACAGGAAUGGUAACAUGUAGAAAGUCAGAUAUUAUCAAGUGCUGAUGAAUCAGGAUGUGAGGAAAAGGACAACCAUGAGUUGGAAUGUAAACUGGUACAGGUAUUCCAGAGAGAGUUUGGCAGCACCCAUGAAAUUAAGUAUGUGAAUACCCUACAACCCAGUAAUCCCGCUUCUGGGCAUAUAUUCCAGAGAAAUUCUCAUACAGGUCCUAAGAAAAUAUAGUUGAGGUUGUUCAUUGCAGCACUGUUUGUGGUAGUGAGGAAUCAGAAGCAAUCAGGUGUUCAUCACUAUAGGACAGGAUAAACAAACUGUAUAUUCAUACGAUGGAAAACUACAAAACAAAAGUAAUAAACUAGAUUUACAUAUAGCCACAUGGAUAGGUCUCUAAAAUCCCCAGCAUUGAGAGAAAAAAGUAAGAAACAGAAUAGUAUUUAUAGUACAAUUCCAUUUACAGAAAUGUAAAACAACACUAUGUAUUUUCAUGGAUAUGCAUAUAAAUAAACAUAUGGAAGACGGAUUGAAAGUAUACAUACGUUAAUUACACUGGAGAGGCUCACUGAGUUAGGCAGGAGAAUGGGAGUAAGGAUAGGGACUGAUGGGGAAGAAGAAGAAGAUAAAGUAAAAGAAGAACUAAAGUAAAAGAGCAGCCUUCAGUGAACUGGUCAUAAUGUGCCAUAAAUUGCAGAUUAUGAUUAACUAAACUCUGAAGUCCACAACAAAUAAACCAAAACAACAGAUGUGAGGAUGGUUGGAGCUCCCUUGCAGUGGCAUGUGCCAGUAGGAUAAGGUCCACUGGUAGGAGCAGUGCAGGGAGCAGUGCCAACAGCAGCAUUCUAACCAGGCUGUUUUUAUGGUGGACCCUUAGCUGUGGUUCCUGAUGCCUGCCUUCCUCGCUCCCACUCCAUGUUCUCAGCCUGAUUCUCUAGACUUCCGUGAGCUACCUGAUAACUUCAUAAUAAAUCUCUUUUCUAGGCUGGGUGCAGCGGCUCACACCUGUAAUCCCAGCACUUUGGGAGGCCCAGGCAGGCAGAUCGCCUGAGGUUGGGAGUUCGAGACCAGCCUGACCAACAUAGAGAAACCCUGUCUGUACUAAAAAUACAAAAAAUUAGCCAGGCAUGGUGGCACAUGCCUAUAAUCCCAGCUACUCGGGAGGCUCAGGCAGGAGAAUUACUUGAACCCAGGAGAUGGAGGUUGCAGUGAGCUGAGAUUGCACCAUUUUGAGACAGAGUCUUGCUCUUUCACCCAGGCUGGAGUACAGUGGUGCGAUCUCAGCUCACUGCAACCUCUGCUUCCAGGGUUCAAGCGAUUCUCCUGCUUCAGCCUCCUGAGUAGCUGGGACUACAGGUGCACGCCACCACGCCUGGCUAAUUUUUGUAUUUUUAGUAGAGAUGGGGUUUCACCAUGUUGUCCAGGAUGGUCUCCAUCUCUGGACCUCCUGAUCCGCCUGCCUCAGCCUCCCAAAUUGCUGGGAUUACAGGCGUGAGACACUGCACCUGGCCACAUCGUACAUUUUGUUGGAGAACAUCCUCGAGUAACUUCUUAAGAAAGUCAAGCCGUCUGGAGCUGUGACAGCCAUCUUGUGACCAUGUGGGGAUGAGCACGAGGAAGAAGACAACAUGUGAAGGAAGAAAGUCAGAAAGAGCCCAAUUUCUUGAUGGCAUCAUUGAGCAGCUGAACCCAUGCCACAGUUCCUGUUAACUUAAAAAAAUAAAUAAAGCCAUAUGUGUUUAAGCCA